Schistocerca gregaria is the source of this 996-nucleotide long non-coding RNA. RefSeq lists it as uncharacterized. The record is from RefSeq and is a predicted model, not a curated record. Lineage: Eukaryota; Metazoa; Arthropoda; Insecta; Orthoptera; Acrididae. The transcript has 2 exons.
CUUAAGAAAAAAUUUAAUUUUUUAAAGUUAUUUUUUUUUAUUUAAUUUUUUAAGUAAAAAUAUUAACUUAUUUAUUCUUUAAGGGAUAAGCUUUGAAGUUAAUAACCUAUAAUUUAUUUUAUAGAAAUAUAAUAGUAAGCUUUAAACCAGCUAUCUUUAAGAUUACGUUUUAGUUCAUUAUUUUUUAUUUUGAUUUUAUAAAUAUUUUAGGUUUUUUAUUAAGAUUAUUAAUUUAAUUUUAAAAUUUUUGUAAUAAUGAUAGAAUUAGUAUAUUUAUUUGUAUGAAAUUUUUACCUUCUGAACUUAUUAUAAGGAACUAGGCAAAAUUGAUUUCCGACUGUUUAUCAAAAACAUGUCCUCUUGUUUAUAUUUUGAGGUCUGGCCUGCUCACUGAGCGUAUUUUUAAAGAGCCGCGGUAUUUUGACCGUGCAAAGGUAGCAUAAUCAUUAGUCUCUUAAUUAGAGGCUGGAAUGAAUGGCUUGACGAGAAAUCAACUGUCUCUUAAUAAAUUUUUGAAUUUAACUUUUGAGUCAAAAGGCUUAAAUUCUUCUUUAGGACGAGAAGACCCUAUAGAGCUUGACAUUUUACUUUUAUAUAGUUUUUUGUUUGUCUUUCUAUAUUUAAUGAUGAUGUUUUGUUGGGGUGACAUGAAGAAUAGAUAAACUCUUCAUUAUUAUAUCAUUUAUUUAUGUUUGUUAUUUUGAUCCAUAAUUUAUGAUCAUAAGAUUAAGUUACCUUAGGGAUAACAGCGUAAUUGUUUUUGAGAGCUCAUAUCGACAAAGCAGAUUGCGACCUCGAUGUUGGAUUAAGAAAAAUUUUGGGUGCAGGAGCCCAAUGAUUAGGUCUGUUCGACCUUUAAAUUCUUACAUGAUCUGAGUUCAGACCGGCGUGAGCCAGGUCGGUUUCUAUCCUAAGAUUGUUAACCCAUAUUAGUACGAAAGGACCAUAUGGUUAAAAUAUUUUUUGUUAUAUUGAUUAAUAUUAAUUUAUUUACAA